This is a long non-coding RNA of Bos taurus (domestic cattle), 1031 nucleotides long. The record is from Ensembl. Lineage: Eukaryota; Metazoa; Chordata; Mammalia; Artiodactyla; Bovidae.
GGAUGGAGUGGGGAGGAGGUGAAGGGGUUGGGAGCUUCCAGAGGAGGCUGCAUUUCUCAGCGCUUUGUUCUUUUCUUCUGCUCACACAAUACCUCACACAAUACCAGAUAACUCAAUGGGAUUUGGUGCAGAAAGAAAGAUCCGUCAAGCUGGUGUGAUUGACUAACCACCAGUUUUAACACCUUCCUCGUGUUAUGUUUAAAAAAAUAAAUAAAUUUAAGAAAACCAUUUUAAAAUUAUGCACAGUUGCAGCCUGGAAAACUUAAGGUGGCGCCUUAUAGUAUCAAUUUUAGGAGCUUUAUUUGGUGCAUUUAACGCAACUGGUAAUUGCAAAAUCCACUUCGCCUGUGUAAGAGAAAAAUAUAGACUGUUAACUUGUUGGCCCUAUGAAAUUCUGCACUUGAUGUUUAGUAUAUACUCUACCUUCAUUACUUCUGGCAAGAUUUCUGCCUUAGCACUCAGUUGCAUUCUUUUUCCUUUUCUGUUUAUUAUGCUUUAAUUCUGAGGACCAUAUGAGGGUAGAAUAUAUUAAAAAUUACCAAAAUUUGUAUAGGCAAACCAUUUCCUUAAGUUGAUGGCCAAAUGUUAAAAUGUUAUUUUUCAUAUCAUUUAUAAUCUUGUCACAGUCCACUUAAUGAAGUUUGGUUAGAUUUCAGUGAAAAGUAUCUUCCAGAGUAGUUUUUUUUUUUUUUUUUCCUGGCGUGGGGGGUGGGUAACUUUACUACAAUUAGUAUGUAUGGUGCAGAAUUUCAUGCAAAUGAGGUGUGCCAGCAGUGUGAUAAUUUAAACGUAUUUAAACAAAAACAAAAAGACGAAUGCACAAACUUGCUGCUGCUUAGAUCACUGCAGCUUAUAGGACCCAGUUUCUUUUACUGAUUUCAAAACAAAACAAAAGAAAAAAUAAUAAAAAAGUUGUGCCUGAAAUGAAUCUUGUUUCUUUUAUAAGUAGCCGCCUGGUUCCUGUGUCCUGUAAAAACAGGCACUUGACCCUUGGUGUAGCUUCUGUUCGACUUUUUAUCACGGGAACGGAU